Molecule: ribosomal RNA, 183 nt
Filed under: Acartia tonsa
Lineage: Eukaryota; Metazoa; Arthropoda; Copepoda; Calanoida; Acartiidae
Description: partial 16S ribosomal RNA
Source: RNAcentral
UUUGGGGUAAAUAAAAAUAAAAAUAUUNUUGAUUUAAAUUGAUCUUAACGAAACUAAAUGAAAAAGGUACUCUAGGGAUAACAGCGUUAUAAUCAUUAAAGCCCUUAUUAAAAUGAUUGUUUGCGACCUCGAUGUUGAAUUGCGAAUANCUUUNUANAGCAGANAUUAGAAACACANAGAUCU